RNAcentral lists this ribosomal RNA (465 nucleotides) under uncultured bacterium. RNAcentral's name for it is "partial 16S ribosomal RNA". It matches the Rfam family "Bacterial small subunit ribosomal RNA", at positions 28 to 507 of the family's 1533-position model. The record is from RNAcentral.
GACGAACGCUGGCGGCGUGCUUAACACAUGCAAGUCGAACGGAAAGGCCCCUUUGGGGUUACUCGAGUGGGGAACGGGUGAGUAAGACGUGAGUAACCUGCCCUUGCCUUCGGGAUAACUUCAGGAAACUGGGGCUAAUACCGGUUAGGAAUCCUUGCUGCAUGGUGGGGGUUGGAAAGCUUCGGAGGUUUUGGCUGGACUCGCGGCUUAUCAGCUUGUUGGUGGGGUAGUGGCUUACCAAGGCUUUGACGGGUAGCCGGCCUGAGAGGGCGACCGGCCACAUUGGGACUGAGAGACGGCGCAGACGCCUACGGGAGGCAGCAGUGGGGAAUAUUGCACAAUGGGCGGAAGCCUGAUGCAGCAACGCCGCGGGCGGGAUGACCGCCUUCGGGUUGUAAACCGCUUUCAGCAGGGGCGAAGCUUGUGGUGACGGUACCUGCAGAAGAAGCACCGGCUAACUACGUG